Sapajus apella (tufted capuchin) is the source of this 2557-nucleotide long non-coding RNA. RefSeq lists it as uncharacterized. NCBI's taxonomy places the organism in Eukaryota, Metazoa, Chordata, Mammalia, Primates, Cebidae. The record is from RefSeq and is a predicted model, not a curated record. The transcript has 2 exons.
UAAGUUUUUUCAUUAUUGAAGAUCUGCUUUUCAUCCCACCAACACAUUAAUGCCUGCUAUAUGUAUAUACUAUUGCUGUGGGGAUCUAGAAGUACAAAGAUGAAUAAGAUACCACAUUAUAGUAGGGGAGAAAAAAAUUUAAACCAGGAAUUAUAGUACCAUGCACUGUGUGCUAUAUACAGGUAUUUACAAAGGAAUAUGGAAAUACAGAGGAAGGACAACUGUUUUCCCCAAGGAUGAGGCUUCUUAGAGCUUCUUAGGGAAAAUAACAUUAGAACCAAGUCUGGACAAAUGAAUACAUAGGGGUGCAUCAAGCAGGGAAAAGGAAAAAACAUUCUCAGCAGAGAGAAUACAGGCAUGAAGAUGUGAAGAAAUAAAUAAAUAUUGAUAAAUAUAUUUUUUUCUCUAUAUAUGUACAAUAUAUUUGAAAUAUACAUAUAUUUAUAUGGGAACAGAGAAUAGUUCAGUGUAGCUAGUACAGGGUACAAGAUGAGUAGUCUUAGACUAGAAAGAUUGACUGAAGCCGGGUUAUAGCCAUUGGAAGGCAGUUGAGCUUUAAUCUUAAAAUGAUGGGAGCUACCGGAGGAUUUUAGAAGAAUAGUGACAUAAUCAGACUCUGGCCUCAAGAAAUGUAUAGUCUAGUUGAAGAGACAAAACUAAAGCACAAUAAAAAAAUUAGAUAAUGUUUCAAGAUGAUAUUUAAUCAAGUCAUUAUUGUAAUACUGACUAUAACAGGUUUUGAGGUUAUUGGGAACAGUUUCUUAGAGAAGACAAGAUUAGGAUGAACCACAAAGAAUGAAUAGAAUUUGGGGGAGGAGUUCAGUCAGGAAUAACAGCAAAAGCAAAGAUGUAGAAGUAUGCAGGAAGUAAUAAACAGUUUGACCUGUAGAGAGUGGGUAUGAAAGAGAAUUAGAUAAAAUUGGUAAACGAAAACCAGUUUAUGAGCUUUAUAAAGAGGCUUGUAACACUUUAUACCUGCUGAGAUAUGCCAAGAUCCAGUAUAGGAUCUUCUGUAGAAAGUUGAGGUAAUGAAGGCAGUAUUUUAGGAAAUGUAACCUGGUAAGGAUGCUUUAGAGGUGAAAAAACAGGUCAUAGAGACUUGUAGACUUACAGUGAUAGAAGUAAAAAUGUACAGUAAGCAGCAGAACUGAAAAACAUUUUAAAGGGAGAAGAAACUAAAUGACAGGCUGGAUAUAAAGAUAGAAUAAAUCAGAGAUAAUUCCAUGUUUCCUGAGAAAUGACAAAGUAUGAUGUCACUGACAAGUAAUUUAGGAAUACAAGUCCUUUAGGAAAUAGUUAUUUCUAAGCCACUUAUAACAAGCACAUUUCCCUGUUGAUAGGACCCUGUAUUCUAAAGCUUAGCUUCUUUCUUUCCCAGCUGCAAUUCCACUUUAUUCUAUAAGAUAAUGCCAACCUGGUAUAUCAGAAACAACUCAGCCUUUGGAGCCAGACUGGUCUGGCUUAUAGCCUAUCUCUACUUACCAAAGUUUCUUUGGGAAAAUUACUUAAUUUGCCCAAGCCUCAAGGAUAAUGAUUUCAGACUUUCAGACUGUUAUGAUGAUUCAGUGAGAUAUAUCAGAUGCUUCACAUAUAAUAGGUGCUUUGUAAAUGCUGGUUCCCUUCCUCUAAGCAUGAUUUUUUUUUUUUUUUUUUUUUUUUUUUUGUACAUAGUGCAGCCAAAAGAAAGAAGUCUACCUGUGGGUGCUCUAGUUAUACCAAGGUCUUUACUGGGAUUUAUUGUUGUUGGGUUUUGCUUUCCUUAAAUGUUUAUCAAGAUUUCUUCUGCAAAUGCUACAAUCUUGAAAAUCAUAAAGAUGUGAUUCACUUUAUAUUUAUGCAAUGUGCUCUGUCAUCACUGUUUUAACUUUGUCCUUAAAUCUUCAAAAAGAACUCUUCAGUUUUUUCAGCUGACUUGAUUUUAUUAUUUUUUAAUUGUAUUACAUUCUAAUUCUUAAAUAGGUAACAUAAAAUUUGGUAAAAGAGAUAAACAGUAAACGCUGAGUCUGUUAGUAGUUUUGUAUGCAUCUUUACAGUUAUUCUGUGUUUGUAUGCAAGUCAGUGUGUGUGUGUUUUUUAAAAUUCCAAUGUUACCAUACUGUACAGAGUUCUGCAUUUUGUUUGUUCACUUAACCAUAUGUAUCUGUGACUGUUACAGAUCAGAACCUAAAGGUGCAUUCUUUUUAAUCACUAAAUAGUAUUCUUUGUAAAGAUGUAUCAUAAUCUAUUUAACUUGGCCUUUAAACAAAACUGCUAAUAAUAGUUUAUAGUUGUUUCGUGGGCCUAAUAGAAAUGUGUCGAUGUUUAUCACAAAAAAUGAGUUUUCUGCCUCUUAUCAAACAAAGUUGUGUCCCGUAACUAAAUUUAAACUUUUACUUUUUAUCAUUUGAUUUUCCCCUUGAAAAGAGUAGAACCAGACUUAGUCAUUAGCCAGCUUUACUGUCUUUAUUUGUAUCUCUCUACAGGUGGAAAGCAAUUAGAAAAAGUUAUUGUAAUAACUUGUCUGAAACUUUUUUUUUUGUUCACUUUAAAAGAAAAAGAUACUUUAAAAAUAUAAAUU